UAAUACCGAAUAAGUUCCAAGGGUCGCAUGAUCCAUGGAAGAAAAGGUGGCCUCUACCUGUAAGCUAUCGCCUGAAGAGGGGUUUGCGUCUGAUUAGCUGGUUGGAGGGGUAACGGCCCACCAAGGCGACGAUCAGUAGCCGGUCUGAGAGGAUGAACGGCCACACUGGAACUGAGACACGGUCCAGACUCCUACGGGAGGCAGCAGUGGGGAAUCUUCCGCAAUGGGCGAAAGCCUGACGGAGCAACGCCGCGUGAGUGAUGACGGCCUUCGGGUUGUAAAACUCUGUGAUCCGGGACGAAAAGGCAGAGUGCGAAGAACAAACUGCAUUGACGGUACCGGAAAAGCAAGCCACGGCUAACUACGUGCCAGCAGCCGCGGUAAUACGUAGGUGGCAAGCGUUGUCCGGAAUUAUUGGGCGUAAAGCGCGCGCAGGCGGCUUCCCAAGUCCCUCUUAAAAGUGCGGGGCUUAACCCCGUGAUGGGAAGGAAACUGGGAAGCUGGAGUAUCGGAGAGGAAAGUGGAAUUCCUAGUGUAGCGGUGAAAUGCGUAGAGAUUAGGAAGAACACCGGUGGCGAAGGCGACUUUCUGGACGAAAACUGACGCUGAGGCGCGAAAGCGUGGGGAGCAAACAGGAUUAGAUACCCUGGUAGUCCACGCCGUAAACGAUGGAUACUAGGUGUAGGAGGUAUCGACCCCUCCUGUGCCGGAGUUAACGCAAUAAGUAUCCCGCCUGGGAA
This 740-nucleotide ribosomal RNA is filed under the name uncultured bacterium. RNAcentral describes it as "bacterial SSU rRNA". It matches the Rfam family "Bacterial small subunit ribosomal RNA", at positions 164 to 879 of the family's 1533-position model. The record is from RNAcentral.